GGGCCCGUAGCUCAGCUAGGUAGAGCGGCGGGCUUUUAACCCGUAGGUCACGGGUUCGAAUCCCGGCGGGCCCGCCA
Molecule: transfer RNA, 77 nt
Filed under: Acidianus infernus
Lineage: Archaea; Thermoproteati; Thermoproteota; Thermoprotei; Sulfolobales; Sulfolobaceae
Description: tRNA-Lys
Rfam family: tRNA
About the family: Transfer RNA (tRNA) molecules are approximately 80 nucleotides in length. Their secondary structure includes four short double-helical elements and three loops (D, anti-codon, and T loops).
Source: RNAcentral